AGUGAACGCUGGCGGUAGGCCUAACACAUGCAAGUCGAACGGCAGCACAGUAAGAGCUUGCUCUUACGGGUGGCGAGUGGCGGACGGGUGAGGAAUACAUCGGAAUCUACUUUUUCGUGGGGGAUAACGUAGGGAAACUUACGCUAAUACCGCAUACGACCUACGGGUGAAAGCAGGGGAUCUUCGGACCUUGCGCGAUUGAAUGAGCCGAUGUCGGAUUGGCUAGUUGGCGGGGUAAAGGCCCACCAAGGCGACGAUCCGCAGCUGGUCUGAGAGGAUGAUCAGCCACACUGGAACUGAGACACGGUCCAGACUCCUACGGGAGGCAGCAGUGGGGAAUAUUGGACAAUGGGCGCAAGCCUGAUCCAGCCAUACCGCGUGGGUGAAGAAGGCCUUCGGGUUGUAAAGCCCUUUUGUUGGGAAAGAAAAGCAGCAGGUUAAUACCCCGCUGUUCUGACGGUACCCAAAGAAUAAGCACCGGCUAACUUCGUG
Molecule: ribosomal RNA, 492 nt
Filed under: uncultured bacterium
Lineage: Bacteria
Description: partial 16S ribosomal RNA
Rfam family: Bacterial small subunit ribosomal RNA
Source: RNAcentral